This 204-nucleotide ribosomal RNA is filed under the name Staphylococcus nepalensis. RNAcentral describes it as "partial 16S ribosomal RNA". It matches the Rfam family "Bacterial small subunit ribosomal RNA", at positions 74 to 270 of the family's 1533-position model. The record is from RNAcentral. Lineage: Bacteria; Bacillati; Bacillota; Bacilli; Caryophanales; Staphylococcaceae.
AGGAGCUUGCUCCUUUGACGUUAGCGGCGGACGGGUGAGUAACACGUGGGUAACCUACCUAUAAGACUGGAAUAACUCCGGGAAACCGGGGCUAAUGCCGGAUAAUAUUUAGAACCGCAUGGUUCUAAAGUGAAAGAUGGUUUUGCUAUCACUUAUAGAUGGACCCGCGCCGUAUUAGCUAGUUGGUGGGGUAAUGGCUUACCA